AUUGAAUCCGGAGCAUCUGUGGCUGUCCAUGUGGCAGUCUCAACACCAACCAGGGCUGUAGCUCCCAUGAGGCGAGUGAGAUGAUCGCCUCAGGAAAUAUGUCAUCAGUUUCAUCUCCACUAACCGUAGCGGUGACAUCUUGAAGCUCCGCCCAUGCUCCGAAUCGGGCCCAGAAAGGAAGAUACCGAAGAGGAUAGCCAGAGAACCGGAGCACCGAACAUGAUCAGAAUUCUCCAGUAUCUCACCUGGCGGACUCUCUGUUGAGGUGAAGUUAGGUUUGCAGAGCUCACACCUAUUAUUAAAUGCUCCAUGCUGGGAGCAGUAAUACCCAUCUGGACAGACACAGACCGGGGCCUGGAUGGCAGAACAUGGUGUUUUCUCUACUA
Long non-coding RNA from Hyla sarda, 386 nucleotides. RefSeq lists it as uncharacterized. The record is from RefSeq and is a predicted model, not a curated record. The transcript is spliced from 3 exons. NCBI's taxonomy places the organism in Eukaryota, Metazoa, Chordata, Amphibia, Anura, Hylidae.